UGGAAGACGAAUUUCUAAAUUUUGUUGUCACUAAAAUGAGGACACUUAGCCAGGAUGAAAUUGUAAUGCUGGCCUCCACUAAUUUUCCAUCUGAGUGGAUUUGAGGAGUCAAAGAAGCUACUCUUUGAAGUUUGUCCGAAAACGACUCAACGAUGUGUUUUGCACAAGGGUCCUCAGAAGGAUAUUAACAACGCCAAAGCGUGCCUAAAGGUUCUUAACGAGUGUGGGGAAGACAUCCCAAGAUUUGUAUCGUUUUAUCUGGAUGGGCUUCCACCUUAAGUUAACAUUCCGCACGCAGCAUUGAUGUAUCAGCACUCCUUGGCAGGAUUGAACAGCUAAAUAAGGAAGUGUCCAGUAGGCAUGAAAAAGAUCAUGGAAACUCAAGUAAGCGUAUGUGAGGAUCUACAAGCGGUAACUGCGGCUGUGGACCAGCGUGUGGCCAAAUUGGAGAGGCCUCGUGUACCAGAUCCUGACCACACCACCGGUAUUGGGCGGAAGGGAGAUGGACGAUGUGCGAGCACACUGGUUUCAGACACCCCACCGGGUAACGCGGCACUGAAUAUGCCUCCACAAACACAAUCACAGUCACCUAAAUGGAGCAUGAUUGUGAAAGAUGGUCGGCGAUUAAAGCAGACUUGGCGGGGCAUCCACAGCCAAAACCCUAUAACACUCGUGAACCAGCGAGAAGGCAGAGAAAGCAGAUCGGAAUAGUUGGAACCGGUGAUGGGAGUAAUAUUAAAGUGGUCAAAACCAAGCUGGUGAGUGUGUUUGCCACUAGAUGUGCUCCUGAUCUUGAAGCUGACACCUUAAGUAACUAUCUGUCUAAAAAACUGAGCAGAUCAGUUACGUGUCGGAAGAUUGCAUUGUCACAAAACAGGUUCAGCUCUUUUCACGCCACGGCUGAAUGCAAUGAAGUAAAUGAAAUGUACGAUCCACAACUUUGGCCAGCAGGAAUUUAUGUUCGCCGUUAGUAUGAAGCUCGUCUGCCCCGUAUCACGUCAGCUUAUGGAGGGCAUGGAGCUGAGGGAGCCACUGGAGGCCAUCGGCAAAUAACACGCAGUAGCAGUCCCUCCUGGUGGCCGCAAUCUGGUGAUUACUACGACCCAAGACAACGGGCAAGUGAGCUCUGCGCAGUCGUUAUAAAAGGCCUAAUAUGAAGUUUCGAUUUGGGUCAUAUAAUGCGCGUGGCCUGCGUCUCGGACACAGUGCAGGGGAUAAGUCACGUUGCGUUAUGGUUGAUAAGCUUCUUGACAAUUGUGAUGUCUGUAUUCAAGAGACUUUUUUUUUAGCUAAACAGGAUCUGGAAGGUCUAAAUACAUUACAUAAUGAAUAUUAUGGGGCUGGGGGAAUCUACCACUGAUCUAAGUACUAAAAUUGUCCAAGGUAGGAUACCUGGGGGUGUGGCUAUCCUCUGGAAUAAGAACUAUGAUUCACUAAUAUCAGUGGUAAGAUUGGGUGUGGAUUGGGCUAUUGGUAUAGAGUUUAAUUGUCAUGAUACAAAGUUUAUUAUUUUAAAUAUAUACACUCUGUAUGAGUGUUAGCAAAAUGAAGCUGAAUACUUAAAUAGAUUAGCAUUUUUGGCUCUUUUAUUCAAGAUAAUGCCUCAACCUGUAUUAUUGUUGUAGGAGACAUGAAUGCUGACAUUUCUGAUGCAGACUCUCUGUUUGCUAAUCACCUAAUGUAUUUUUGCACUGACCGUCAAGCAAGGUGCUUUUGCCUAUUAAUAGUUAUACUUAUAUCAGUGAGGCAUGGCAUACUACCUCGUGGUUAGAUCACUGUGUAUGUACAACUGAUGCACAUGCUUCUUUGGAUGCUAUGGAGAUUCAUUAUGAUUUUUCCAUUGCCGAUCAUAUACCGUUUUCUCUGUCUGUAAAUGUUAACAAGCUACCAAUUUUAUCUGCUGUGGCUAAUAGCAUUAACACAGGAAGAUUAGACUAAAUUAACCAUGGAAGAUUUCCAGAAGUAUCAUAUUAAGACUGAUGGGUUACUGGAAAACAUUGCACUGCCCAAAGAUGCCAUAAGAUGUUAUAAUAUUAAAUGUAAGAAUUCACAACAUAGUAAAGAUGUAUGUGUUUUAUAUGAAUCAAUUGUGGAAUCAUUUAACAUUGCCAGUAGGCAUUUCUAUAAACCUCAGCGUAUGGCAUAUAGCAUCAAGCCUGGUUGGAACGAGCAUGUAUAGAAGUUAUAAUGACUUCUGGAAAUGGGUCAGAGCCAUGAACAGUAGUAAAAUGUCUUUACCCUCAAAUAUUGAGGGAGUCAGUGGCUCAGAUGUAAUCUGCCAGAUGUGGUGGCAACGUUCUAAUGAGUUGUUUAACUGUAUUGGGAGGAAUACGUUUGAGGUGGAAAAUAUUGAUAACAAUGAAAAUGUGGUUAUUAAUUCAGAACAAUCUGCAGUAUUGGGAUUAGAUGACAAUAAAGUGUGUGGCGUUGAUAAAAUAACCGCUGAACAUCUAAAAUAUGCAAGCAAGAAACGUAUUCCUCUGUUUGCUAUUUGUAUGACAGGUUUCUUAGUUCAUGGGACUCUGCCUGAAACUAUCCUACCUGUAUUAUUAGUGCCCGUCAUCAAAGACAAAGCUGGCAAAAUAAACAGCAUGGACAAUUAUAGACCUGUAGCCCUAGUUAGCAUUGUAUCUAAAGUGUUGCAGAGAAUUUUUCUCAACAGGUUGGAACAGUAUAUUCUUACCACUGACAACCAAUUUGGUUUUAAACGUCAACACGGUACAGACGUGUAUAUUUGCCUUAAAAGAAGUUUUAGAUCAUUAUAAUAGCCAGAAUUCCACAACUUUUAUGUGUUUCAUAGAUGCCUCUAAGGCAUUUGAUCAUGUAAACCAUGACAAAUUAUUUCUUAAAUUGCAACAUAGAGGAGUCCCAAAAGUAAUUAUAAGAAUUCUAGUCGUCUGGUAUUCUCAUCAGGCUAUGCAGGUGAAAUGUUCAUCAUCAGAACCAUUUUUUGUUGGUAACGGAGUUCGUCAGGGUGGUAUUUUGUCACCUUUCCUUUUUAAUGUGCAUAUGGAUAAUUUGUCACAAAAAUUAAAUAAAUGCAAUACAGGAUGUAUGAUAGGCUAUACUCUCAUUAAUCACCUUAUGUAUGCAGAUGAUUUGGUAAUCAUUUGCCCAUAUAGUGCUGGGUUACAACAACUUUUGAAGGUUUGUUCUCAGUACCGUGUGGAUUUCAAUAUCAAAUAUAAUGCAAA
Long non-coding RNA from Sander lucioperca (pikeperch), 3194 nucleotides. RefSeq lists it as uncharacterized. The record is from RefSeq and is a predicted model, not a curated record. NCBI's taxonomy places the organism in Eukaryota, Metazoa, Chordata, Actinopteri, Perciformes, Percidae. The transcript has 2 exons.